CACUAUGCUUAGCCCUAAACAUCGAUAGCAUCUUAUCCACACUCGCUAUCCGCCCGGGUACUACGAGUAUUAACUUAAAACCCAAAGGACUUGGCGGUGCUUUAGAUCCACCUAGAGGAGCCUGUCCUAGAACCGAUAAUCCCCGUUAAACCUUACCUUUUUUUGUUCUUACCGCCUAUAUACCGCCGUCGUCAGCUUACCCUUUGAGGGUCCUAUAGUAAGCAAGAUUAGUACAACUCAAUACGCCAGGUCGAGGUGUAGCGUAUGAAAAGGAAAGAGAUGGGCUACAUUCACUCUUAGAGUGAAAACGAAUGGUACAGUGAAAUUCUGUUACUGAAGGAGGAUUUAGUAGUAAACAGGAAGCAGAGUGUCCUGUUGAAUUUGGCCCUGAAGCGCGCACACACCGCCCGUCACUCUCCCCAACUUAUCAUGUUAAUCUAACUUAGCCCAAUCUAUAAACCAAGGGGAGGCAAGUCGUAA
This 480-nucleotide ribosomal RNA is filed under the name Plectranthias longimanus (longfin perchlet). RNAcentral describes it as "partial small subunit ribosomal RNA". It matches the Rfam family "Bacterial small subunit ribosomal RNA", at positions 788 to 1491 of the family's 1533-position model. The record is from RNAcentral. Lineage: Eukaryota; Metazoa; Chordata; Actinopteri; Perciformes; Anthiadidae.